UACGGUCAAUUCACGCUGAAACACCGGUUCUCGUUCGAUCACCGAAGUUAAGCAUCGUAGAGCCAGGUCAGUACUUAGAUGGGGACCGUUGGGAACACCUGGUACUGUAAG
Molecule: ribosomal RNA, 111 nt
Filed under: Acanthosepion pharaonis
Lineage: Eukaryota; Metazoa; Mollusca; Cephalopoda; Sepiida; Sepiidae
Source: RNAcentral